This is a long non-coding RNA of Danaus plexippus (monarch butterfly), 545 nucleotides long. RefSeq lists it as uncharacterized. The record is from RefSeq and is a predicted model, not a curated record. Lineage: Eukaryota; Metazoa; Arthropoda; Insecta; Lepidoptera; Nymphalidae. The transcript is spliced from 2 exons.
CCACACAUUUACUUAGCAUCACUGUUCCUUUUAUGAAAUUGAAUAAAAACUAUCUAUACUAUAAUUAAACCCAGUCUUUGAUACAUAAAUAGAAUCUACAAUUAUUUUCGUAUCGUACAUGAAUGCAUCGUCUCCGGACAACGUAUAUCGAAUAGUUGUGAAGUGUCUAGUUAGUAGAAUUGUCCCUCAGUCCUAGUUAGUAGGACGACGGUGAGAGGUGACAGUUUCAAGCCAGCCUCUGAACAACAUGCGUGUUAUAAUCAUUUUGGCCCUUUGCAUAGUACUUACACUCGCUGCUCCGCAAUCAAAACUUGAAUUCGCUAAUAAUGAUAACAACGGCAAGCAGUUUAUAGAGGAAGUGGUAGUGGAGUCGGUACUUCACGUCAAGAGUCCGACAGCAACAAGACAGGGUCGAACCAGCACCGACCUUCAGACAGGAGCUAGGGUACAACUCAAACAGUGAUCGACAAACAUACAUGCAAUAUAAUGAUUAAUGAUCAUACAUUACAUCUAGUCAGUGCUAGAAAUAAAGAUAUACAUCCGUA